This 497-nucleotide ribosomal RNA is filed under the name uncultured bacterium. Its description in RNAcentral is "partial 16S ribosomal RNA". It matches the Rfam family "Bacterial small subunit ribosomal RNA", at positions 28 to 507 of the family's 1533-position model. The record is from RNAcentral.
GAUGAACGCUGGCGGCGUGCCUAAUACAUGCAAGUCGAGCGAACGGACGAGAAGCUUGCUUCUCUGAUGUUAGCGGCGGACGGGUGAGUAACACGUGGAUAACCUACCUAUAAGACUGGGAUAACUUCGGGAAACCGUAGCUAAUACCGGAUAAUAUUUUGAACCGCAUGGUUCAAAAGUGAAAGACGGUCUUGCUGUCACUUAUAGAUGGAUCCGCGCUGCAUUAGCUAGUUGGUAAGGUAACGGCUUACCAGGGCAACGAUGCAUAGCCGACCUGAGAGGGUGAUCGGCCACACUGGAACUGAGACACGGUCCAGACUCCUACGGGAGGCAGCAGUAGGGAAUCUUCCGCAAUGGGCGAAAGCCUGACGGAGCAACGCCGCGUGAGUGAUGAAGGUCUUCGGAUCGUAAAACUCUGUUAUUAGGGAAGAACAUAUGUGUAAGUAACUGUGCACAUCUUGACGGUACCUAAUCAGAAAGCCACGGCUAACUACGUG